UACGUAGGGUGCAAGCGUUAAUCGGAAUUACUGGGCGUAAAGCGUGCGCAGGCGGUUGUGUAAGACAGAUGUGAAAUGCCCGGGCUUAACCUGGGAACUGCAUUUGUGACUGCACGGCUAGAGUUUGGCAGAGGGGGGUAGAAUUCCACGUGUAGCAGUGAAAUGCGUAGAUAUGUGGAGGAAUACCGAUGGCGAAGGCAGCCCCCUGGGUCAAGACUGACGCUCAUGCACGAAAGCGUGGGGAGCAAAC
This 250-nucleotide ribosomal RNA is filed under the name uncultured bacterium. RNAcentral describes it as "partial 16S ribosomal RNA". It matches the Rfam family "Bacterial small subunit ribosomal RNA", at positions 524 to 773 of the family's 1533-position model. The record is from RNAcentral.